Molecule: ribosomal RNA, 460 nt
Filed under: uncultured bacterium
Lineage: Bacteria
Description: partial 16S ribosomal RNA
Rfam family: Bacterial small subunit ribosomal RNA
Source: RNAcentral
CCUACGCGAGGCAGCAGUGAGGAAUAUUGUUCAAUGGGCGCGAGCCUGACCCAGCAACGUCGCGUGAAGGAUGACUGCCAUACGGUUUGUAAAUUUCUUUUAUAAAGAAAUCCAGUGAGGCACAUGCGCCUUUUUGUCUAUGUUUUAUGCAUCGGGAUCAGCUAACUUCGUGCCAGCAGACGCGGCAAUACGGUGGUUCAUAGCGUUAACAGGUUUUAUUGGGUUUAAAGGGAGCGUAGAGGGGUUGUUAGGUCCGUUGUGAAAGUUUGCGGCUCAACCGUAAAAUUGCAAUUGAUACUGGCAGACUUGAGUAUAGGUGAGGUAGGCGGAAUUCGUGGUGUAGCGGUGAAAUGCGUAGAUAUCACGAAGAACUCCGAUGGCGAAGGCAGCCUACUAAACUGCCACUGACAGUGAGGCGCGAAAGUGUGGGUAUCAAACAGGAUUAGAUACCCUAGUAGUC